RNAcentral lists this ribosomal RNA (412 nucleotides) under Chlamys islandica. RNAcentral's name for it is "partial 12S ribosomal RNA". It matches the Rfam family "Bacterial small subunit ribosomal RNA", at positions 840 to 1395 of the family's 1533-position model. Lineage: Eukaryota; Metazoa; Mollusca; Bivalvia; Pectinida; Pectinidae. The record is from RNAcentral.
UUAUUACCGACGCAAACUUUGCUAUGAGGCAGCUGCUUGGGUACUACGAGCGUGUGCUUAAAACUCAAAGAACUUGGCGGCUCGUUAACUACCUAGGGGAAUAUGCGCCUUAAUCCGAUGAUCCGCGUAGCAUCUUACUGUACCUUGAAAAAGAACAGCUGGUGUAUUGCCGUCGUCAGCCUGUUGUUCGAGCAAGGAGAAACAGGCCCAAGGGAACUGGCGAUUUGUCGACAGGAUCCAUAAAGUCAGGUCGAAAUACUGCCUAUGGUACGAGGGAGUGGGUAUUACAAUUCAAAAUUCGAAAUACGGAGCUUGGAAGAACUGUGAAAUCUCCAGGUGAAGGUGGACUUAGGAGUAAGGGGAGAUUAAUAUGCUUCCCUGAACGUGAAUCUAACUUGUGUACAAACCGCCC